This 1369-nucleotide long non-coding RNA is filed under the name Capsicum annuum. RNAcentral's name for it is "long non-coding RNA (CANN_LNC022427)". Lineage: Eukaryota; Viridiplantae; Streptophyta; Magnoliopsida; Solanales; Solanaceae. The record is from RNAcentral.
GCAGCAUAUACACCACUGGCCAACAACUCUAAACAAGAACCAUACAAAACAUUUAUCAAUCAAGAAAGUGAAAGAAAAAAAGGAAAAAUAUACCAAUACAGGUAAAGAUAAGGUAGUUACUGGUUGUGGGGCGUUUUGACACUUGUUCUUGAUGCUGAUUUCUUGGAAUUUUCCAAAGGCAGGGACAGUGAUUUGAUAGAAGCAGAGGAUAAGAGUGCAUUAGAAGGUGAAAAGGGGGUGUGAAAAACAGGGAGAUUUGUGCUGUUGGAGAUUGAUGUCUCCAAACUAAGAAGAUGGGUCAUCUUUGUUCACUAUGUUUGCUCAACGAGUUGACCAAAAACUCCCAACAAUAGUUGACUUGUCUGUAGAUAGGACAUGCUUAUACGACGUCAUAUUUGCCAUUUGCUAAAACCCUUCUUAAACCUAUGAGAUUUUGUAAUGUUGGGGUCUUGAUGGGGUUUUGUAAUACUGCUAAUGGACUUAGAGGAGAAAAUUUUUUGAUGUUUUUUGGUGUGACGUUGGGACUGCAAUGGUAGUGGUGAUGGCUCUAAUAGAAAAUGACAGCCUUGAGGCUGCAAUGAGUGGGGUAGGGUGGGAGUGGGGGUGGGGAAGGGCGGAAUGCUAGUAUGGUGGUGGUUGUGUUGCUUGGGGGAGGGGGGAUGAGGAGAGGGUGGAAGACUGGAAAAGGGUGGGGGGAUNNNNNNNNNNNNNNNNNNNNNNNNNNNNNNNNNNNNGGGAUGCUGGGGGGUGGUAGGGGAGGAGGGGGGGUGCUGGACGGGGUUGUGGAAGAGGGAGGACCUUGUUUUUAUUUUUUUAAAUAUUAUUUUUUUAAUUUUAAAAAUAUUUUUAAAUUUGAAAAGCUAAAAAAAUAUUGACCUCAUUUUUAAUUUGUUUUAAUUUUAAUAUUAUUUUAAUAUAAAUACAUUGCUUCAUUCGCUCAUACACACGUGACUACACGCGUCUUAUCCCAGUCAGCAAUUUUAAUGCCACAUAGAUCAAGUCAACGGUCAAAGGGUAUAAAAUUUUGAAUUUUAUUAAAUUGAGGGGUCUAGAUGACAAACAUAUAAGUAGGAGUAUCCACAUUACAAAAAUAUAUAAUACAAGGGUCCAUCGAGUCAUUUUGCCAUUAAAAUAUUUUUAAUUUUAUAGAUUAAGGGUGUGUUUGGUAUGAUGGAAAUUGUUUUCUGAAAAAUGUUUUCCUAUUUUUCCUUCUUUGGUUGUAAUAAAAUAUUGGGAAAAUAUUUUUCAAAUUAGCUCAUUUUUCUCUAUUUAAGGGAAAAUGACUCCCCCAUGGCCAAGGAAAGUCAUUUUCUAAAAAAUGACAAAUGUGACUUUUGUGCCCUCACCCCCACCCCACCCCAUCCCUCUU